This 406-nucleotide ribosomal RNA is filed under the name uncultured bacterium. RNAcentral's name for it is "partial 16S ribosomal RNA". It matches the Rfam family "Bacterial small subunit ribosomal RNA", at positions 359 to 774 of the family's 1533-position model. The record is from RNAcentral.
GAAUAUUGCACAAUGGGCGCAAGCCUGAUGCAGCGACGCCGCGUGGGGGAUGAAGGCCUUCGGGUUGUAAACUCCUUUCGCUAGGGACGAAGAUGUAUUUUGACGGUACCUGGAGACGAAGCCCCGGCUAACUACGUGCCAGCAGCCGCGGUAGUACGCAGGGUGCGCGCGUUGUCCGGAAUUACGGUGCGUAAAGAGCUCGUAGGUGGUUUGUCACGUCGUCUGUGAAAUCCCGGGACUUAACUUCGGGCGUGCAGGCGAUACGGGCAUAACUUGAGUGCUGUAGGGGAGACUGGAAUGCCUGGUGUAGCGGUGAAAUGCGCAGAUAUCAGGAGGAACACCAAUGGCGAAGGCAGGUCUCUGGGCAGUAACUGACGCUGAGGAGCGAAAGCAUGGGUAGCGAACA